AUUGAACGCUGGCGGCAUGCCUUACACAUGCAAGUCGAACGCGAAAGGGGGCAACCCUGAGUAGAGUGGCGAACGGGUGAGUAAUACAUCGGAACAUGUCCUGUAGCGGGGGACAACCCCGAGAAAUCGGGGCUAAUACCGCGUACGCCCCGCACCUUGAUGGGUCUUCGUCGAGAGGGCCCAUCAAGGUGCGGGGGAAAGUGGGGGAUCGCAAGACCUCACACUAUAGGAGUGGCCGAUGUCGGAUUAGCUAGUUGGCGGGGUAAAAGCCCACCAAGGCGACGAUCCGUAGCUGGUUUGAGAGAACGACCAGCCACACUGGGACUGAGACACGGCCCAGACUCCUACGGGAGGCAGCAGUGGGGAAUUUUGGACAAUGGGCGAAAGCCUGAUCCAGCCAUG
This 402-nucleotide ribosomal RNA is filed under the name uncultured bacterium. Its description in RNAcentral is "partial 16S ribosomal RNA". It matches the Rfam family "Bacterial small subunit ribosomal RNA", at positions 29 to 396 of the family's 1533-position model. The record is from RNAcentral.